RNAcentral lists this ribosomal RNA (471 nucleotides) under uncultured bacterium. RNAcentral describes it as "bacterial SSU rRNA". It matches the Rfam family "Bacterial small subunit ribosomal RNA", at positions 27 to 518 of the family's 1533-position model. The record is from RNAcentral.
GGACGAACGCUGGCGGCGUGCUUCAUACAUGCAAGUCGAACGAGAAUCUGACUUCGGUCAGAGGAAAGUGGCGGACGGGUGAGUAAAAUGUAGAGAAUCUGCCCUUAAGCGGGGGACAACAGUUGGAAACGACUGCUAAUACCCCAUAUGCGCGUAGCUGAGAUGCUAUUCGUGAAAACUCCGGUGCUUAAGGAUGAGUCUGCAUCUGAUUAGCUAGUAGGCGGUGUAAUGGACCACCUAGGCGACGAUCAGUAGCUGGUUUGAGAGGAUGAUCAGCCACAAUGGGACUGAGACACGGCCCAUACUCCUACGGGAGGCAGCAGUAGGGAAUUUUGCGCAAUGGGGGAAACCCUGACGCCAGCAACGCCGCGUGAUUGAAGAAGCCCUUCGGGGUGUAAAGAUCUGUCAGUGGGGACGAAACUUGACGGUACCCACAGAGGAAGCAUCGGCUAACUCCGUGCCAGCCGCCGC